This 931-nucleotide long non-coding RNA is filed under the name Mytilus galloprovincialis (Mediterranean mussel). The record is from RNAcentral. Lineage: Eukaryota; Metazoa; Mollusca; Bivalvia; Mytilida; Mytilidae.
GGGGAUUAUUAGUGUACGUCCAGUUGCAUAUAUAUUACAUGAAUGUCGGAACAAUUGUGAUGAUGACGAGUUUCUUCCUUUAUUCGAGAACAAUCUAAUUGAUAUAUAAAUCUGUGAUUUUACUAUGUUCAUAACUUCGAUGAACUAAAGCAAGUUAUAUAUAUCGACCUGUAUUCAAUCAAAUUGGGUCUCUUCUUCUUCUUCUUCUUCUUCUUCUUUUGGUAUACAAUAGUCUAUCGAAUUCGUUGAUUACAUACUGUUGGCAUACGUGGACUAGUCUAUUUACAAAACUUUUACCCCAAUUUACACGUAUGUUUCUUUCUUAUGUUCAAUGUAUACAUGUAUAUAUUUUAAAUUGCACUAUAGUUCUGUAACUUUCUAUCCAGGCGUAUAAACGAAUCGUCGACAAGUGCGUACAUUUUUUAAAUCAAUAUUUCUGGUAUGUUCCAAUCUGUCCUUUACUAUUGACAACGAGUAUAUAUUACAUUUUCCCAAAUUAACCCUUGGAAAAAAUAUUUUUUUUUUGGGGUAUUAUUUACAUUUUUAUAAAUAAUAUUCUUUACACUAGAAAUGUUAUUUAUAAACAAGCGUAUGAGUUAAGUAAUGACUAGUAUAUUAUAUCACUUUCGGACACGCAAGACAGAGAUGUAUAUGAUACACCUGAUAGUUCAAAAUGGAAAGUUAUAAGUUAUCGGCCGUGUACACUGAUCAAUACCUACAGAAGUGAAACGAUGCAUGAACUUGCAAGCCCGACAGGAAAUCGCUUGAAUACCUGGACGUGUCACCUCACACCCCUCACAAUACCUUUGGGAGUAAUACCUUUAGCCAUGCUGGUGAUCAGAUGAGGGAAGAUACGAAUUUAUUUGAAUAAAGUUUAUUACUUUAUAGAAUUAUGAACGAAUUAGAUUUUCGAAAACAAUUUUCACGGAAC